RNAcentral lists this ribosomal RNA (341 nucleotides) under uncultured bacterium. RNAcentral's name for it is "bacterial SSU rRNA". It matches the Rfam family "Bacterial small subunit ribosomal RNA", at positions 28 to 351 of the family's 1533-position model. The record is from RNAcentral.
GAUGAACGCUGGCGGCGUGCCUAACACAUGCAAGUCGAACGAAGCGAUCAAGAUGAAGUUUUCGGAUGAAUUCGAGAUUGACUGAGUGGCGGACGGGUGAGUAACGCGUGGGUAACCUGCCUCAUACAGGGGGAUAACAGUUAGAAAUGACUGCUAAUACCGCAUAAGCGCACAGUACCGCAUGGUACCGUGUGAAAAACUCCGGUGGUAAUGAGAUGGACCUGCGUCUGAUUAGCUAGUUGGUGAGGUAACGGCCCACCAAGGCGACGAUCAGUAGCGACCUGACGAGGGUGAACGGCCACAUUGGGACUGAGACACGGCCCAAACUCCUACGGGAGCAG